Molecule: long non-coding RNA, 792 nt
Filed under: Homo sapiens (human)
Lineage: Eukaryota; Metazoa; Chordata; Mammalia; Primates; Hominidae
Description: novel transcript
Source: RNAcentral
GUCUCCGAGCGGCGGGCCGAGGGAGGGCGCAGCAGCUGCUCCCUGAACACUUUCUGACCCAACAGUCCCCCAGCGCCGGACGCGCCGCGCCCUGGCGGCUCUAGGGACCCCCCCCGCGCCUGCACUUAGCCCCGCGCCCGAGUCCACAGACAAACGAAUUUAAAGGAGCAACCGAGGAGGCACCUGCGAAAGAAAGCCCACACACAGGUGAAUUUAAAGGAGCAGCCCUGGUGUCACCUAUCAGUAAAAGAAUGUUAGAACGACUUUCCAAGUUUGAAGUUGGAGAUGCUGAAAAUGUUGCUUCAUAUGAUUGUAUAACCAUUCACCAGCUUGUGUCAAUGCUGGAGAGGAAGUACGGCCAUAGAGGAAGUUAACUCACCAUGGUUGUAAGCUGUUGGUGUCUAAACAAAGAUUGGAAACAAAGAGGGCAAAUACAAGUAGUUCUUCAAAUUACCCUGAAUUUGCCACUGAAUUAAACUGUGUGUCUGCAGAUUAGCUAUACGUUUUCUGUAAUGGAGCUGCCCAGGGCUGAAACAAAAUUAGAUUAAGCAAGGCAAGCAUUUCCUUCUUUCCUGACUCCAAACAAAAUAAAGCAGGUUUUCAUUUUAUUUUAUUUUUAAAUUACAAAGUCUCAUUACGUAGAUAUAGGAGGAAUUUGCAAUAGUCCCUGUGAGAAAUGCUGGUGUUUCAUACCAGGGGGAUGAUACUGGAUUUAUAGUAAAAGCUGGAAUCAGUGCUUGGCUUUGGCAUAUCAUAUAUUCAUUCACCUGAUACUCAGCAAGUCACUAACCC